This 406-nucleotide ribosomal RNA is filed under the name uncultured bacterium. Its description in RNAcentral is "partial 16S ribosomal RNA". It matches the Rfam family "Bacterial small subunit ribosomal RNA", at positions 30 to 526 of the family's 1533-position model. The record is from RNAcentral.
AUUGAACGCUGGCGGCAGGCCUAACACAUGCAAGUCGAACGAGUGGCGGACGGGUGAGUAAUGUCUGGGAAACUGCCUGAUGGAGGGGGAUAACUACUGGAAACGGUAGCUAAUACCGCAUACCAUCAGCUGUGCCCAGAUGGGAUUAGCUUUUUGGUGGGGUAACUGCUCACCUAGGCGACGAUCCCUAGCUGGUCUGAGAGGAUGACCAGCCACACUGGAGUGGAUACACGGUCCAGACUCCUACGGUAGGUAACAGUUGGGAAUAUUGCAGAAUAGGCGCAAGCCUGAUGAAGCCAUGCUGAGUGUAUGACGAAGGCCUUCGGGUGGUAAAGUCCUUUCAGCGGGGAGGCGUUAUCCGCAGAAGAAGCACCGGCUAACUCCGUGCCAGCAGCCGCGGUAAUUC